This 261-nucleotide ribosomal RNA is filed under the name uncultured prokaryote. Its description in RNAcentral is "partial 16S ribosomal RNA". It matches the Rfam family "Bacterial small subunit ribosomal RNA", at positions 524 to 784 of the family's 1533-position model. The record is from RNAcentral.
UACGUAGGUGGCAAGCGUUAUCCGGAAUUAUUGGGCGUAAAGAGCGCGCAGGUGGUUGAUUAAGUCUGAUGUGAAAGCCCACGGCUUAACCGUGGAGGGUCAUUGGAAACUGGUCGACUUGAGUGCAGAAGAGGGAAGUGGAAUUCCAUGUGUAGCGGUGAAAUGCGUAGAGAUAUGGAGGAACACCAGUGGCGAAGGCGGCUUCCUGGUCUGUAACUGACGCUGAGGUGCGAAAGCGUGGGUAGCAAACAGGAUUAGAUA